Molecule: RNA transcript, 1920 nt
Organism: Magnolia sinica
Lineage: Eukaryota; Viridiplantae; Streptophyta; Magnoliopsida; Magnoliales; Magnoliaceae
Exons: 8
Source: RefSeq, a predicted model, not a curated record
AAAUACUGGGAUGAUUGAGGAUGUUAAGAUCAGUGAAUGACGUGUCCCCACACAGUCGCUAAAUUCCUGCAAGUCUGAUUCAUUGCUUAUGUGUACUAAGGGCAGUUUCUCAUAUUUGGCUUCACAUAACUCGAUUAGUUUGAUUUGGGGAUAGAAAAUUAGAAAUGUUGAUCUUUUCUUUAGUUUGGUAAAUAUAAAAACAAAUUGUGUUUGCUCCCUGAAGCUGAAUGGUUUAAUAGAAAGCAGUAAGAGCUUCAAGUAGUUACCAAUAAGAGAUUCUAGUAAUUUUAACAUGCACACAAGUUUUUAAUUAUCUUUUAUUUGCUGAGUAUCUGAACUUUUUCUUUGCUUGUUGAGAGAAGGGUGUUAAGGAGAUCUGAUUGGACUUCUCUGAGCAUGAAUUGAAUUUAAGAGAGGGUAAUGACUGGGGAGUUCUUCACGAGGAAGAAGUUAUAGAAGCAACUAUAGUAGCCAGCACGCUCACCAUGGGAUGUAAAAACAAAGACACAAGGCCUUUAAAACAACAAAUAUUGAUGGUGAUUAACAGGCUUCCAUUCUUUGCUGUUAGGAAUGGUGACGAUUCUUGGUCACUAGAGACCAGUUCUGGGGGUCUAGUAAAUGCUCUUCUUGUCUCGGUGAACAGCAUGUUGGUUAUUGUCAUUUGGAUUUUCCCACAUUAAAGCUCAGCGUUGUUGGUAGACGCCCAUUUUCUCGUGGGGGAGAUCAGUUAUUUCGGAAAAGACUUCUUUCUGCAAGGCAAGGGAAGAUGCUUGGCAUUCCAAGAAACUCAUAUUUGUCUUCCAUUAAGGAAUUUUGUUGCUUCUUGAAGCUUUCACGAGUCGACCAUCUUCCUAGGGAAGAGAGAAAAGAGCAUGCUAUCUGAUCUUGAGAAAGCGUGUGCAGAUAAGAUAGCUGCUGCAGAGGUGUCGCUGAAAAAGAAGAAGCAGGUUUGAGAGGAAGCUGAAAAAUACAUAUGAUCUGCUACAUUUCAGCAGUAGCAGAGUUCAUUCAUGCUUAAAGAAGAAAUUCCCCUGUGCUGUUCCAAAUAAACAACGCCUAUAAUCCUCUGUUAGAUAUUCACAUUUCUCUUUUGGAUGUAUUUUGGGGUAUAUUUCUUCCUAAAUAAAGUUGUUGUAGCUUCAUCUUCCCAUGAAUCAAUCCCUACUGUAGAUUGGAUUAGCCAAUUAGAGGUCUGAUCUCUACCCUCUCUUCUUCAUUUUCCUUACCUCUAUUCCUUGCAAAUGGAUGCUUGUUGGAUAAGAAAUGAGACAUGGCCAUAAAAUUUUAAGCCUCAGUUCAUGUAAGUGGGCCAUUGAAAAUCAUAGGAUAUGCCCCAUGUAAGUUUUGGAUUAGAGUUUGACCCUGUUGCUUAUAGUGAGUGGGCCCCUCUCCUUUCAUUGACUUGUAUGGGAAGGAACACAUUCUUAGCAGGCCAUUGAAAGUCAUUGGCUCAGUUUCCGCUGUUGAACCUGACAUGUCAAAUCCACCUUAUUAAGUCAAUUUUCUAAGUGUAAUCUGAUAGGACAUGCCAUCCAAGCCGUUUAUAAGGUCAUCCCUACUAGGAUUAACAUAAAACAUAAAUAAAUAAAUAUCUUGAUACAAUUAAAAAUGAAUACUAGUGAGUGGGCCUCUCCUAUCAUUUGACUUAAUUAAUUUAUUUUUAUUAUUUUGUUUUGCAGGUUGCAGGCAGAGACAGAUGAUGGUUAGAUGGAGGAAUUUUUUUUAUAUGUAUUCAGAAUAUUUUCAAUAUAUUACUGUAAAUAUUAAACGUUUUUCAUUGUAAAGUAAUACAAUUUAUUUAGUAUUCAUUUUUAAUUGUAUUGCAUAACAUUUUUUAAGUUCUAAAUAUUUAAAAACAAUAUAGGUUCCAAUUCAAUAUAAACAAUCAAAUCAAUUAAAAAUAAUAAUUAACUCGGGGUC